GGGCCCGCACAAGCGGUGGAGUAUGUGGUUUAAUUCGACGCAACGCGAAGAACCUUACCAGGGCUUGACAUUGAGUGAAAGUUCUAGAGAUAGAACGCUCUCUUCGGAGACACGAAAACAGGUGGUGCAUGGUUGUCGUCAGCUCGUGUCGUGAGAUGUUGGGUUAAGUCCCGCAACGAGCGCAACCCUUAUUCUUUGUUGCCAGCACGUGAUGGUGGGAACUCAAAGAAGACUGCCGCAGACAAUGCGGAGGAAGGCGGGGAUGACGUCAAAUCAUCAUGCCCCUUAUGUCCUGGGCAACACACGUACUACAAUGGGCUUAAACAGAGGGAAGCGAAGCCGCGAGGCAGAGCAAAUCCCAGAAACAAGCUCUCAGUUCGGAUCGCAGGCUGCAACUCGCCUGCGUGAAGUCGGAAUCGCUAGUAAUCGCAGGUCAGCAUACUGCGGUGAAUACGUUCCCGGGCCUU
RNAcentral lists this ribosomal RNA (467 nucleotides) under uncultured bacterium. RNAcentral describes it as "bacterial SSU rRNA". It matches the Rfam family "Bacterial small subunit ribosomal RNA", at positions 917 to 1382 of the family's 1533-position model. The record is from RNAcentral.